GUCAGCUCGCGCAUGGGAACCCAGCACUGCCUCUUAGGACCCGUAUGCGGACGUUCUCGCGGGUUUCUUCCAGAUUUGGACAGCAUAAAGGGAUGCAGAUUCCUGGAGUACAACUUGCCAGCUGCCUCGAAGUGUUGCCCCUGGGCCAUGCCACCAACUGACAAUGGAUUGAAACUUUUAAAAACUCUUAACUCUAGGUGUGGACAACGGGAAGGCCCAACCUAGUGGUAGCCUGGAUAGAAUAUAAAGGAUGUAAAGAUGGCUGCUUGCUGCUUCCUGCCUGCCAUGGACUGUUUCUCCUUUGUCACACCACCCUGCCUUGGAGCACCCUUCUAUAGACUGAAACCUCUAUAAACUGUAGCUAAGAUAAAUCUUUUCUCCUUUAACUUGUGAGUGUUGAGUGUUUGUUCCAGCAAUGAGAAACCUAUGACAGUCAUCAUUCUAUCUUUUAACUAUUUAAAAAUAUAUAUUGAAAGCACUCAACAAAUAUGUAUUUGUUUUGAGUUAAUGUUAUUCACUCAAUAAAUAUCAGUUUAUAAAACACUGUUGUAAAUAAAAAAAGACAAGUAAAAUUCAGUUCAUUAGUACCAUAUUCAAGAGGGAAAAUAGGCACUAAAUCUUAUAUUACAGUAAGAGUUUAAAGGAAAAAUUUUAAGUUUGUAAAAAGAAAAAAGGAUGCAGGCACAUUUAUAUUCAGGGAGUUACUUUAUAAUUAGUAGAGAAUCAAUGCGUUUAAAAGUUUCGAGUAUUUCCAUUUCUUAAAAAGAAAAAAAUCUUGACUUUAAAUAGAUAAAUAGGUGACUACAAACUUUUUCUUUUCUUUUUUCUUUUUUUGGUACUGGAAAUCAAAUUCAGGCCCUCAUGCUUGGCAGGAAUGCUCUGUGCCACUGAACCAUACACCCAGCCCCACUGUAAACUUUUUCAUAAUAAUUUUCUCAGCAAAACCUUCCUUUAUAAGUAAUAUAACAGUAAAACCAUCCCAGAAGAAAAAGAAGUUUGCAAUUUUGAGUAAUGAGACCCAGAUUAAUAAACCUUGCUUUAUUAUAGCUCUAAAGGUCUGAUAAUCUGUCUUUAAAUCUCAUGAUUUGGGUAUUAGCAAUCAGAUUACUAGAAAAACAUUUUUCCCCUGUGAUACUAGGUCUCAAGCCAAGGGCUUUCCCACUGAGCUACAUCCACAGACAUUCUUUGUUUUUUGUUUUAAAAUAGAGUCUCACUAAGUUACUAAGUUGGCUAGCCUGGGCUCUAAUUCACUACCUUCCUAUCUUGGCAUCCCAGAGUGCUGGGAUUGCAGGUAUGCACCACCACACCAGCCUAUAACGAUAGUUUAUUUGUUUGUUUGGGUACCAGGAAUCAAACUAAGGACCCUGUGCUUGGUAAGCAGGCAUUGUGCCACUGAGCUACAUCCCUGGCCUAUAACAACAUUUUUAAAAAAGACAUUUUAGAAUUUGUUCCUCCCUGCACACCUAAACUAAAAUUUCCAAAAUUU
Molecule: long non-coding RNA, 1486 nt
Organism: Cavia porcellus (domestic guinea pig)
Lineage: Eukaryota; Metazoa; Chordata; Mammalia; Rodentia; Caviidae
Exons: 3
Source: RefSeq, a predicted model, not a curated record